Molecule: long non-coding RNA, 1927 nt
Filed under: Mus musculus (house mouse)
Lineage: Eukaryota; Metazoa; Chordata; Mammalia; Rodentia; Muridae
Description: long non-coding RNA chr3:61366494-61368421
Source: RNAcentral
UUUUUUUUUUUUUUUUUUUUUUUUGUGGUUGGCAGUGACAGAUUUUGCUGACUAGCUUUUAAAAAUACAAUACAAAGACUUCGUAAAUGUGAUUCAGGGCGCCCAGCACCCCUGUGUCUGCAGAGUGCCUUCAAACUCAGCUGUUCCAGCCGGUGCCAACCUGUGAAUUCCCACCAUGUCCCAGAAUCUGCUGUUCUGCUUUCCCCAAAACUACUUUAAGCAUCUUCCUGAAAGAGCCAGGAUGAAUAGGACCUGUUAUUCCGUGAAUUGCUUCAUUAAUUUUAGCUUUUUUUUUCAAUGUUAAGUCCAUAAGUCUUGAAUUUUUUCCCCCUUCAUUUUGUUCUAAUUUCAGGUUUUAGCUCUCCUUUUCUGUUGUUUUCGAAAUGUCUGUUAUCUGUUACAGGGUGUUCCUCCAGAGGCAAAGAGCAAAAUUUUAUUGUGAUGUACCAAAAGAAUUUUAACAAGUUGUAACUUUUAAUUCCACUCAUUUAGUCACUGUCUCUUCAUUUUAAGACUUUUAAUACAACUGUCAUUUUUAAAGAAACCCCAAACUAUUUGUGGUUUUGUGUUUCAUAUUCAGUGAUUUACAGUCUCCGUGAAUAUGGUGCCAGGCGGGGAGGUGGAUCGGGCCAGGUCCAUGAUGCCUUUUGAGUUAUGUGUCAAAAUUUGAAGAUAGGAUUAUUUCUAUGAAAAAUUGGGUAACAAUGUUUCCAAGUCUUUAAAAGUGGAGAAAAGUAUCAAGGCCUAAGACUCACAGGGUAUGGCCAGGGCAUCUGACUGUCCAGAUGAGGAAGCACUGCUCUGCUGAAGAAGAGUAAUGAACUUUACUGUUGAUAGCAAAGGGGCAAGUCCCCCCCUCCCCGACUCCCCCCCCACCCCCAGCUAGUAACACCCUCUUAGGCCUGGGAAAGCAAAGUGGACCUGGCAGAAUAACUAACAGGGGCACUUUCUAUUUGUCUUGGUUUGAUGUUGUCUGUUUAUGUCCCACACCGAGUCAGAAGUGAUCUUAACUUUGAUCUCACACACCCUGCCCUCUACAACGUAUGGAUGGAAUACAAUUAUUCUAGCCGUUAUUUCAACCCUUCCAAAGUUUUUAUUUGGAACCAAAUCAAAGAUUGAGAACAAAAAGUAAACAAGACGAAGAGGAUUCCCUUGCUCUCCUUCUAUUUGCCCACAACAGUUUUUAAAAGUAGGAGGCAAUGUGUGUUGGUGUUUUAUUUGUAUUUUGCUUGGGCUCUCCAGUACAAUAAUCUUUACAGAAUAACAAAGUAUCUAUAAGAUAUAAUACCACAGGUUCCUGAGGCAAAGCUGAUGUCUGAAGAGUCUUAACUAAGGAAUUUACUCCCUUGGCAAAGCCAAAAGAGAUCACAGGUUUCUUUAAAGCUAUAACAAUAUAUAUUGCCUUAAUUUUUUUUUUUCUCCAUCCAAGUUGCAUCUCAUCAUUUCGUGGGCAGGAAGAACAUUUUGCCUGUCCUGGCCUUUGUUUAUUCUCCAACUCGGAUCUCACAUCUCCAUUAGUGUCAGAUGUGAUUCUGCUUCCAAGUAUACAAAUUGAAAAAUAAUGUUUUUACAAGAAUUCAUUCUUAACAUUUGAACGAGUGUAUUUGCUUAGGUCGAUGAAAGUGUUGCACAUUUAAAGUGUUGACGCAUUUUGAAGAUGUGUCAAGCACUGUUGGAGGGGUUGCUUUUUAAAAAAAUGCUUAUGGUGGCCCUCUUCUCAUGAUUUGGAAGGCUUUGAACAAAAGUGUUGCCAAGUAUAUAGCUCAGAAAAUACUUGAAGGUGGACAGUGAUCUAGAUUGUUGGUGCAUUAAUCACCUCUCCAGAGGCUUCCCAGAGGUCAUGGAAGGCAGGGCAGGCUUUUGAAAACAUGUUUCUACUGAGUACUGUAAAAUAAAUGCUUUUGGAUUGUACAAUUAAAGCUGCUGC